AGGAGGUGGAGAUGAUGAUAUU
This 22-nucleotide non-coding RNA is filed under the name Arabidopsis thaliana (thale cress). The record is from RNAcentral. Lineage: Eukaryota; Viridiplantae; Streptophyta; Magnoliopsida; Brassicales; Brassicaceae.